GACGAACGCUGGCGGCGUGCUUAACACAUGCAAGUCGAACGGAAAGGCCCUGCUUUUGUGGGGUGCUCGAGUGGCGAACGGGUGAGUAACACGUGAGUAACCUGCCCUUGACUUUGGGAUAACUUCAGGAAACUGGGGCUAAUACCGGAUAGGAGCUCCUGCUGCAUGGUGGGGGUUGGAAAGUUUCGGCGGUUGGGGAUGGACUCGCGGCUUAUCAGCUUGUUGGUGGGGUAGUGGCUUACCAAGGCUUUGACGGGUAGCCGGCCUGAGAGGGUGACCGGCCACAUUGGGACUGAGAUACGGAGCAGACUCCUACGGGAGGCAGCAGUGGGGAAUAUUGCACAAUGGGCGGAAGCCUGAUGCAGCGACGCCGCGUGCGGGAUGACGGCCUUCGGGUUGUAAACCGCUUUCGCCUGUGACGAAGCGUGAGUGACGGUAAUGGGUAAAGAAGCACCGGCUAACUACGUG
Molecule: ribosomal RNA, 468 nt
Filed under: uncultured bacterium
Lineage: Bacteria
Description: partial 16S ribosomal RNA
Rfam family: Bacterial small subunit ribosomal RNA
Source: RNAcentral